UGCCAGCAGCCGCGGUAAUACAGAGAUGGCAAGCGUUGUUCGGAAUUACUGGGCAUAAAGGGCUCGUAGGCGGGCUGAUUAGUCAGGUGUGAAAUCCCUCGGCUUAACCGAGGAACUGCGCCUGAAACUGUCAGUCUUGAGGGCAGGAGGGGAGAGUGGAACUCUUGGUGGAGCGGUGAAAUGCGUAGAUACCAAGAGGAACGCCGGUGGCGAAAGCGACUCUCUGGCCUGUUUCUGACGCUGAGGAGCGAAAGCUAGGGGAGCAAACAGGAUUAGAUA
Molecule: ribosomal RNA, 279 nt
Filed under: uncultured bacterium
Lineage: Bacteria
Description: partial 16S ribosomal RNA
Rfam family: Bacterial small subunit ribosomal RNA
Source: RNAcentral